GGCUGAUGCGAUGAUGAUGCGAGAUGCCCUGCAAGCUGAGGCAGCUUCAGCCCACAGUCAAGCAAUGAACGACUGUUCUACAAGGCUCUAUCUGAGUUUGAAUGGCUUGAUCCAGUCGUGUGCAGACCGCACAGUGGUUGGUAAGUGGGACCAUGUGAUCAGUAGUUGAUUCAUAGAAACGACCAACUGUUCUGUUUUUUGACAGGAAAUUUUUUCUGAUUCGGGUCUUCGUCUCCUCGAAAAAAAAAGGCUCAUGUCUUGAGCUUCUGAUAGUGGAUCAGUGUAACUAUUUAUUCAGCAGACCGGGAUUUCUGGGUACACUUCAAUUGCUUUGUAUGAUAACGGAACACGAUUUAAUCGAAGCUUUCAAGUUUUCUGUC
Long non-coding RNA from Selaginella moellendorffii, 380 nucleotides. RefSeq lists it as uncharacterized. The transcript has 3 exons. Lineage: Eukaryota; Viridiplantae; Streptophyta; Lycopodiopsida; Selaginellales; Selaginellaceae. The record is from RefSeq and is a predicted model, not a curated record.